This 286-nucleotide signal recognition particle RNA is filed under the name Myotis davidii. RNAcentral describes it as "Metazoan signal recognition particle RNA". It matches the Rfam family "Metazoan signal recognition particle RNA". Rfam says of the family: The signal recognition particle (SRP) is a universally conserved ribonucleoprotein. It is involved in the co-translational targeting of proteins to membranes. Lineage: Eukaryota; Metazoa; Chordata; Mammalia; Chiroptera; Vespertilionidae. The record is from Rfam by way of RNAcentral.
GGCAGGCGCGGUGGCGUGCGCCUGUAGUCCCAGCUACUCGGGAGGCUGAGGCUGGAGGAUCGCUUGAGCCCAGGAGUUCUGGGCUGUAGUGUGCUAUGCCGAUCGGGUCUGCCCUAAGUUCGGCAUCAAUAUGGUGACUUCCCGGGAGCUGGGGGCCACCAGGUUGCCUAAGGAGGCGAUCGCCCGGGGACAAGACGAAGGAUAUGGACUUCCUGUCUGGGCUGGAAUUGGCCGAUCUGCUGGACCCCCAGCAACCGGACUGGCCCCUGGAGCCCGGGUUCAGCUU